CAGCGUAAUUAUUUGGGUAAAAGGUUUUACACAAGUAGAGACAAUGUAUGGAGGGUGUAGCAGAUUGACAUUGAAUAAAAUCUUAUCACAGUGUCAACAUGUGGUGGUAGUUUGUCAACCAUCUUCAUAGGGGACUAGAAAAAACAAAAAAGGUCGUCAGAAAUCCAAUAAAAUAAACGCAAAAAAAUAAUCGAGUGGGAGAAAAAUAUCGAUGGGAAUAGUAGAAGAAGCUCACAACUUGAAGGUGGUGGGAUCAGGGGAGCAGAUCAUCGUGCUCGCCCAUGGCUUCGGCACCGAUCAAUCUCUGUGGAAGCAUCUUGUUCCUCAUCUCGUCGACGACUACCGAGUCAUCCUCUU
RNAcentral lists this long non-coding RNA (357 nucleotides) under Vitis vinifera (wine grape). Its description in RNAcentral is "long non-coding RNA (VVIN_LNC002250)". The record is from RNAcentral. Lineage: Eukaryota; Viridiplantae; Streptophyta; Magnoliopsida; Vitales; Vitaceae.